RNAcentral lists this long non-coding RNA (552 nucleotides) under Homo sapiens (human). RNAcentral describes it as "HSALNT0081300". The record is from RNAcentral. Lineage: Eukaryota; Metazoa; Chordata; Mammalia; Primates; Hominidae.
UAUCCACAUGGUUCAGGAAAGACAGACUUUUGUCUUUGUUAGCAUGGACCCACAAGGGUCUCUCUGUUCACAGACAGUUCUACUGUGGCAACACAGUUUUCCAUAAUAGAAAAUCGAUGAACUGGAAAACAGUACAAUCUUAGCUCAUUUGUGGUCUUUUCCAAUAUGAAGGGACACAACGACACACUUCUUCACUAUAUGAAAAUCCUGGCUCACAAGCCUUCUGGCGGUUCGUACAUGGCCGUCUGUAACAGCUAGGAGAACAAACAAGAACACACUUACGUUAAAGAUCAAGGCAAUGGAUUCAUCAUGCUACCAAGAUUAAAAAAAAUGUGUCACAAGAAAGUUUACAGAACCUACUCAAACUCAAAGAGAAAUCAGAGACUAAAUUCUCAAAACUGGAAGCUCCCUACAGCAUCCACACUCUUCAGCCUUGUACUAUGUGAUGUGUAUUACGAAUGGAGCCACCGGCAGUAUUUGUAUGAACAUGAGACAAUGUGUGGCAGAUGCUUGGUGCUUUGUAAUAUUUAGUAAAAUAAAACAAUAAUAAUG